ACCCUUUAAUGUUUGAUGUUCUAACGUGGACCCGUGAUCCGGGUUGCGGACAGUGUCUGGUGGGUAGUUUGACUGGGGCGGUCUCCUCCUAAAGAGUAACGGAGGAGCACGAAGGUUGGCUAAUCCUGGUCGGACAUCAGGAGGUUAGUGCAAUGGCAUAAGCCAGCUUGACUGCGAGCGUGACGGCGCGAGCAGGUGCGAAAGCAGGUCAUAGUGAUCCGGUGGUUCUGAAUGGAAGGGCCAUCGCUCAACGGAUAAAAGGUACUCCGGGGAUAACAGGCUGAUACCGCCCAAGAGUUCAUAUCGACGGCGGUGUUUGGCACCUCGAUGUCGGCUCAUCACAUCCUGGGGCUGAAGUAGGUCCCAAGGGUAUGGCUGUUCGCCAUUUAAAGUGGUACGCGAGCUGGGUUUAGAACGUCGUGAGACAGUUCGGUCCCUAUCUGCCGUGGGCGCUGGAGAACUGAGGGGGGCUGCUCCUAGUACGAGAGGACCGGAGUGGACGCAUCACUGGUGUUCGGGUUGUCAUGCCAAUGGCACUGCCCGGUAGCUAAAUGCGGAAGAGAUAAGUGCUGAAAGCAUCUAAGCACGAAACUUGCCCCGAGAUGAGUUCUCCCUGAGACUUAGAGUCUCCUGAAGGAACGUUGAAGACGACGACGU
Molecule: ribosomal RNA, 657 nt
Filed under: Salmonella enterica
Lineage: Bacteria; Pseudomonadati; Pseudomonadota; Gammaproteobacteria; Enterobacterales; Enterobacteriaceae
Description: partial 23S ribosomal RNA
Rfam family: Bacterial large subunit ribosomal RNA
Source: RNAcentral